RNAcentral lists this ribosomal RNA (318 nucleotides) under Bacillus thuringiensis. Its description in RNAcentral is "bacterial SSU rRNA". It matches the Rfam family "Bacterial small subunit ribosomal RNA", at positions 1214 to 1530 of the family's 1533-position model. Lineage: Bacteria; Bacillati; Bacillota; Bacilli; Caryophanales; Bacillaceae. The record is from RNAcentral.
CUACACACGUGCUACAAUGGACGGUACAAAGAGCUGCAAGACCGCGAGGUGGAGCUAAUCUCAUAAAACCGUUCUCAGUUCGGAUUGUAGGCUGCAACUCGCCUACAUGAAGCUGGAAUCGCUAGUAAUCGCGGAUCAGCAUGCCGCGGUGAAUACGUUCCCGGGCCUUGUACACACCGCCCGUCACACCACGAGAGUUUGUAACACCCGAAGUCGGUGGGGUAACCUUUUUGGAGCCAGCCGCCUAAGGUGGGACAGAUGAUUGGGGUGAAGUCGUAACAAGGUAGCCGUAUCGGAAGGUGCGGUUGGAUCACCUCC